RNAcentral lists this long non-coding RNA (211 nucleotides) under Trifolium pratense (red clover). RNAcentral's name for it is "long non-coding RNA (TPRA_LNC005404)". The record is from RNAcentral. Lineage: Eukaryota; Viridiplantae; Streptophyta; Magnoliopsida; Fabales; Fabaceae.
AAAACCCAAAAUUUCCCUCUUAAAAAAGCACCAUACACACAUUCUUCAACCUCUUCCCAUAAACCCUAGAAAUUGGGAGGAAAGGGUUUAUGCAAAAAUGAUAUAAAGUUUCUUCCACAACAAGUAUCAAUCAAAUAACCAUGAAGUUCCUCAGAACAAUCUUCAUCCACCAUAUCCACAAACGCCACCAUUUCCUCAACCCCAAAUGCGU